Small nucleolar RNA from Rattus norvegicus (Norway rat), 131 nucleotides. Ensembl annotates it as small nucleolar RNA SNORA17. The record is from Ensembl. Lineage: Eukaryota; Metazoa; Chordata; Mammalia; Rodentia; Muridae.
CCUGCCCCUGGAGGUGUUGCAGAUGAGGCUGCACUGUCACCGUGUGUCAGUAGGUGGCAGAGAGAAGAGAGGCUACAUCUACGCUCAGCAUUCUGACCUAGGAAUGUCUGAAUGAUUAGUAGCCUAACACU